UCGCCUGUUUAUCAAAAACAUCUCUCCUAGACUAUGAGUGGAUUAGGAGUAGGCCCUGCCCUGUGAUUGGGUUUUAACGGCGGCGUUAAGCUUUAAAGUAGCACGAUAAGUUGUCCUUUAAUUGGGGUCUGGUAUGAAUGGGUUGACGUGGAAGUACUGUCUCAGAAAAAGUGUUCGAAAUUUUCUUUUCAGUGAAAAGCCUGAGAUAUUAUUAAAAGACGAGAAGACCCUGUCGAGCUUGAUUAUCUUGGGGAGGGGUUCUUUCAGGAAAAGUUUCAUUGGGGCAAUAGAGGAGAAAAUAAACCUCCUGUGGUUUAUCGUAGAUCCACCUUGUGGUGAUAUAAGGAAAAAGUUACCGCAGGGAUAACAGCGCGAGACUAUCUGAUAGACCCUAUUGAGGAUAGUAAUUGCGACCUCGAUGUUGGAUUAGGGUGACAACUCGGCGCAGAAGCUGGGUGAAGUGGGACUGUUCGUCCUUUAAAUCUCUACAUGAUCUGAGUUC
Molecule: ribosomal RNA, 502 nt
Filed under: Acrosterigma punctolineatum
Lineage: Eukaryota; Metazoa; Mollusca; Bivalvia; Cardiida; Cardiidae
Description: partial 16S ribosomal RNA
Rfam family: Bacterial large subunit ribosomal RNA
Source: RNAcentral